GUACUUACCUGGACGGGUCGGCUUGUGAUCGAAAACACGAGUGGCCUAAGCUAUUGCAUAUUGCUUAGCUUAAGGUCUCCCCAAGUGGGAGAGUCUCCGUCAUUAUUUGUGGAAGGGACCGCGCGAUAUUGCUUUCGCGCGGUCCCUUC
Molecule: non-coding RNA, 149 nt
Organism: Arabidopsis thaliana x Arabidopsis arenosa
Lineage: Eukaryota; Viridiplantae; Streptophyta; Magnoliopsida; Brassicales; Brassicaceae
Source: the annotation of a GenBank genome assembly